Molecule: long non-coding RNA, 228 nt
Filed under: Vigna radiata
Lineage: Eukaryota; Viridiplantae; Streptophyta; Magnoliopsida; Fabales; Fabaceae
Description: long non-coding RNA (VRAD_LNC011443)
Source: RNAcentral
AGGAUCAAAGAGGCAAGGAUUUUGAAAAAUCCUAGCCGCCACUGCUGAGCGGUAAUUUUUGGCGUUGGGCGGUAUCGCGAUUUGAGGCAAACCGCCUGGGCGGUGUCUUUUGAUGCUGGGCGGUCUGCAACUGUUUUGCCUAAAAAUUGAAAUUUUUGGAUGCUUGAGUGAUGAGGAGCCCUGUUUUUCCUCAGAGAAUUAUAUGAUUUGAUGAUGCACUAACCUCUA